Molecule: long non-coding RNA, 1589 nt
Organism: Callithrix jacchus (white-tufted-ear marmoset)
Lineage: Eukaryota; Metazoa; Chordata; Mammalia; Primates; Cebidae
Source: RefSeq, a predicted model, not a curated record
UAACUUUGAAGACAGAAGAUAGAAAACAGCUGGCAUGAGGAAAUAUGGAAUCAAGGGGAAGCAGAAGAGUCAACAGAAGUGGAACCACUCUGUUUCUUUAACAACAUAUGGUUGACCCCCCAGUGAUUCCUUCCAGGGAUUCUAGGGCAAAUCAACUGUGCUUGCGCCAUUUCCGAAAAAUGGAAACUUUUCCUUAUAUUUUGAUUUAACUCAUAGAAAUGGUAAGUUAUAGCAGAAAGAGUAUAGAUUUUGGGAUGAGACAGCCUUAAAUUCAAAACCUGGAUCUACCAAUGACUACUCAUUGACUCUUUAAAUCUACUUCUUCAGUUACUGGCACCUCUAUCUCCUUAGUUCCACUCUCUUCUCUAAGUUUAUUAAAACUCUCACAGUUUUCCUUCACUUGUAGUUUAGCCAGAACCUCAUGGUAGUUUACUUCAGCCACUCUUAUUAAUACUCUUAGCAUCUUGACCUUUUUCUGUAUUCAGCCUGCAAACUCUGGCCCAUUCAAACAUUCACUUCUCAUUCCUGUGAUGGUCAUCUGGAAGGAAGGACCCGAGUUUGUCAUUCUCAUGAAGCUUGCUAUUUCUCUGAUCUGCUCCCCAACUUCAGUGUGGUUUCCCAGAUCAUGUGAAAAUUCAUCUAAAUCUCUGAUCAGUUCCUGUUCCUGUUACCCACUGUGGGUUGCUAUUCUAAAUGUUCACCACUCUUCUGAAAUUCCUGACACUACCACUUUACUCUCAGCAGAUGAUCUUGCCUCCAAUUGUGUGGAUAGUAUUGAGGUUCUCAGAGAGAAACUCAUUGGCUUACUUGUGAGAACCUGAAAAAUUAUCUCUAUCUGGACACAACUCACCAUUUCUAUCCUUCCUCAGACAAAGAGAUUGGUAAAUAUCAUCCAGGGCUUUUCUGCCUUAAAGGCAGUCUGCCAGCUGUUUGAAGAGAUCGAAUCUCAUUUAGAGGAAGGAAAGCACAGAAGACGGAGGAUAACUGCAUGGUUUUGAGGCUGGGAAAUUGAAGAUCAAGGUGCCAGCAGGUUCAGUGUCAAAAGGGGUCAAAGGGCAAAAGGGGAUGAAUACUGUGUCUUCACAUGGCAGAAGAGAAGAUGAGAGGGAAUCCACUCCCUGAAGCCCUUUUGUAAGUGCCCUAGUACUUGGCACUUGUAAUCUAUGGCUCUGCCCUCAUCACUUAAUUACUUCCUCAAAGGCUCUACCUCUUAAUACACAAGAAUAGGGAUUAAGUUUCAAAAAUCCUCAUUUCAAAAAUAUGAAAUUUGGGGGAUAUUGAGCUCACAGUAGAGGAUUUCUUUUCCCUCUCCUCUCCCCUUCCCUCCCCUCCAUUCCUCGUUUGAGGCAAAGUUUUGCUCUUGUUACCCAGGUUGGAGUGCAAUGGUGCGAUCUCGGCUCACUGCAACCUCUGCCUCCUGGGUUCAAGUGAUUCUCCUGCCUCAACCUCCUGAGUAGCUGGGAUUAUAGGCAGGCACCACCACUUUCAGCUAAUUUUGUAGUUUUAGUGGAGAUGGGCUUUCUCCAUGUUGGUCAGGCUGGUUUCGAAUUUCCAGCCUCAGGUGAUCUGCCCUCCUUGGCCUCCCAAUG